RNAcentral lists this small nuclear RNA (109 nucleotides) under Moschus moschiferus (Siberian musk deer). Lineage: Eukaryota; Metazoa; Chordata; Mammalia; Artiodactyla; Moschidae. The record is from RNAcentral.
GUGCUCACUUCGGCAGCACAUACAGUAAAAAAUUAGACCGAUACAGAGAAAAUUAGCACGGCUCCUGAGCAAGGAUGACAUGCAGAUUCAUGAAGCGUUCCAUAUUUUU